CAUGUUUCUGUGUGGGAGCGGCCCUGUAAGGAGGUUCAAGUUUCCAAUUAUAGGCCACGGUUUGGGGCCUGGUGGCAGGUUGAGUUUGGGACGGGUAAGGUGGCGGAAGAGGGUUAUCACGGCUACGGUAGCAAGCAAAAGGGCAGCAAAAGUAGAGAGCUCCAUUUUGACAGUGGUAAGGGUGAUUUGUGUGGAAGCUGUGAUCCAAGCAGAAGAGGUGAUGAGUCUAUUUAUAGGACACACCUUCUGUAUUAUUGGCAUAUGCGCGCUGGGGAAUUAAUGAUUAAUUUGAAUUAUUGGUAAGAAAUACAAAUGUUAACACAACUAACAGUCAAUUGUCUCUCUUGCUCUCAUUCAGUACCCGUCAGCUAAAUUCAACUAACUUUUUUUCUUUUAUUUUUUAAAGUUAUAGGCUGAUUACUGUGGUGGGGAAGAAAAUAUGGCUGUGUGAUCAAUCUUUUUCUUUGUAGGUUACUGAAGGUUCGUUCUCUGAUGCCUGGUCGGUGCGGCAUAGCUUGAGGGACGUUAUACGCAUCGUCUCACGUAAUCCUUUUCUUUUGUUAAUUCCAAUUCGAUCCUUAUGUUACCAUGUUUUAUACAUUCACUCAUUUGGUUCGUACUUUUUAUUCUUACAUUUUGAUCCUUAUAUUUUCAUUAUCCAUUUCAAUCUAUAAUUCAUUAUUUUACAGGUCAUGUCUGGGUUUUCAUGGCGGCAUGCGUGGGCUAGGCAUUCUCCAUAAAUGACUUAAGAGCAAUCCUUUUGUACUAGAGAACAACCAAAAAGGGUAUAAUUUGUGGUACAAUUUAUCUCUUACCUUAGUUUGUGGUCUACCCAUUAGUCGGAGCAAAUGGUUUACUAGAGAUGAGGUUACAUUAGUAUAAUUUGUUUCUUUAAUAAUUUUAUUUCCUUGUUUUUAUCUCUUAUAAUUUGAUUUUAGGUUUUCUAUUUUAUAUGUGAUUGGAAAAUAUUUUCCAUUCAAAAAUUAUAAGCCAACCCACUGAGAGAAGAAAAUAGAUUGGAUUAGAGCCAUUUUUUUUUAUUUAAAAAAAGAGCUCUCUUGGUGUAAUUUAUGAGAACAUGGGUACUCUCCAAAAGCUAAUGUCGUAAUGAUUUCAUUCUUGUUUUGUUAAGUCAAAAAAUUUAGAAAAAAACUUUAACAACAAUUUUAAUUUGACCUGAAUUAAAAAAAAAAUUAUUAGUUAAUCAAAGAUGCAACUGACCACCAUGUUUAUAUUAUAAAUAAAAAUAGAAAAUAAAUUGGAUUAGAGCCAAUUUUUUUCUUAAUAAAAAAGCUCUCUUGGUGUAAAUCAGGAGAACAUAGGGACUCUCCAAAACCUAAUGUCAUCUUGAUUUCAUUCUUGUUUUGUUAAGUAACAAAAUUUAGAGAAAAACUUUAACAACAAUUUUAAUUACACCUUCUAUGAAUUAAAAGAAAAGUAUUAGUUAAUCAAAGAUGCAACUGAUCUUCAUGUCUAUAUUGUAAAAAAAAGUAAAAAUAGAAAAACUUGAAUUAUUUCAAUAUAUUUGAAAUUAACCUUGACGAUUAUGCUAUGAUGCUAUUAAAGCUUAUAUGUGAUAUGUAUAUAUAGACAUACUCUCACAACCAUGACAUAUUUACUUACUUGACUAAAUACAUAAUUUUAUUUCUAAAAUAAAAUUAAAAGGAAAGGAAAUGAUUAAUUCCAUAAAAGAAAAAAAAGAAAGAAGUUGUUUUUACAAGGUAAAUGUAAACCCCUAGCCAAUAUCAUUGAUAAUAAUAAAAGUCAAUAUUAUGAAGAAAAAAAAAAGGAGAAAGUGAUAAAUUAACUUAUAAGAAUGAUGAUAAAAUUCGAGAAUCUGAAAUAAAAUGUUUUGGAUGGGGGUUAGAGUAAAAAUAAAAAAAUAAUAGUAAUACAAUAUAUAUAUAUAUAUAUAUAUAUAUAUAUAUAAACACAGAAAUGCGAAUAGAAUUUUAAUAAAAGUGAAUUGCAUGGAAUUGAAAAUACUAGUGUGUAACUUAGUGAAAAUCAAAACAACUCAGGUAAGAUUUGGUAUAAACAGGCGUCAGGAUUCGGGAAAUAGAAGGAAUUUUUAAAAAAGUUAAGUAAAUAUAUGUGUGCAAGUGUGUGCGCGCACAAGAAGAAAGAAUUGAGGGAUAUACAAGGCAUUUUUAAAAAAGUUAAGUGUGUGUGCGCGCGCGCGCGCGCGCGCGCGCAAGUGAGUGUGUGUGGGAAGAAAAAAAAAGAACAAACUUGAUUUUUCAUAGGAGAAGGGAGCAUUCAGCCAAGUGAGAGGAAAAAUCCAAGCAAGGGAAAAUUUCUCAAUUUAAAAGCGUUAAAGCUUUGGCUAUUGCUUGGUAAGGUGCCUUCACACUUUUAUAUAAGAUUCUUGAAGAAUUUAUGCUUUAAAUUGAUAGAACUUUGUGAAAUGAAGAAUUAGGGUUCAUGAUAAAUUUUAGAAAAAAUUACAAUUGAUUGUGAAAUUGUGUUCAGCUUAUUGAAGUGAGUAGAGAAAGUAAGAAAUUAUGGUAAUUGAAGUAAAAUUUUGGGUGUUCUUGAAGAAGGGAUUUUUGGCAAAAUAAUAAUAAGGAAAAAAAAAUUCAAGAAUUUUGAUAAGAUAGGAGAUUGUAUAGGAAAAAUGAAAUUAAUGUUAAAGAGUGAAUAGAUCAUGAAAUUUUUUUUUUAAUGUUUUUCUUUAGUUUAAAUUUUGAUAAAAAAUUUAAGAAUAUAUAUAUAAGGAAUUGUGUUACAAUGUGGAAAUUUAAAGAAUAAAAAGGAAAUUUAUAAAAGAAAGAAGGGAAUUUUCAUGUUUCUUUCUAAAUUUGAUUUUGGCAAAUGAAAGGAUAGUAGGAAGGAUUUUAUUUAUUGAUUGUGUUAAUAUGGAAAGUAGAAUAAUGAUGUUAUAUACUUGUUAAUUUAGGAGAGGUUGUUACGCCGACACCACAGCAGAGAACUUCGACUCGAGCUCAGUCAUAAGAUAAUUAUGCGAUGCCUAAUUUAUUAUGGGCCAAUAUGUAUUGUUAUUUGAUUAAUUAUGGGUAAUGAAUUAGUAAUUGGUAUAUUAUUUACUUGAGGAAAUAGAUAUGUGGUGCAAUGAACUCUUUCCUGAUUUAAUGGAAUUAAUGCCCUGAUGAAUGGGCAUCAUGAAGAAUUAAUUUCCUGGUUAAUAGGAUUAAUGCCUUUGUGAAUGGGCAAAUCCUUGAACUAAUUCCUGGUUUAAUGGAAUUAGUGCCUUGGUGAAUAGGCAUGAUGAAGAAUUAAUUUCUUAGUUAAUGAGAUUAAUGCCCUGGUGAAUGGGCAAAUUCUUGAACUAAUUUCUGGUUUAAUGGAAUUAGUGCCCUGACAAAUGGACGUGAUGAGGAAUUAAUUCACUGGUUAAUGGGAUUAGUACCUUGAGGAAUGAGUGAAUCGUUGAACUAAUUUUCUGGGUUGAUGAAAUUAGUGCCUAUUGAAUGGACGAACAAGAAAUUAAUCACCUAUUAGUGGAAUUAAUGUCGGGGUUAAUGGGUGAUAGGAGAAAUUAUAUUUUUGGUUAAUGUUCAAGAAUUAAGGAUUAUUCAGAAAUUUAAUUGAAAUGUAAUACUAGAUGAAUGAAUUAAUUUAAUGAUCUUAUGAGUAAUUUUUUAAAAAAAAAAGAAGAAGAAAGAAAGAAAGAAAGAAUUUUAUUGAUAUUUUAUUUCAUUUGUCUAAUCAAAAUUUUGUAUUAAAUCAAUUUUCAUAUACAUCCCCAUAUCGGACUGAACAGUAGAUUGGUUUUCUUUAUAUUUUGUUGGGUAUUAUUUUAUAAUGAAUGAAGUUAUUAUUUUUUUAUGUAAUAUAAAUUUUAAAAUUUAAUGUGUCAAUAUUUAUCGAAAGUUUUUCUUUAUAGUAUAAUUUUUAAUUAUGAGUUUCUUCUUUAACUAUGUACUCAUUUCAGUUAUAAUAUCUUUAAUGGUUCUUAUUUGUAAAUCUUUGAAUUGUGUAGUGUACUUUAGUUCUAAUUUAUAGAAUAAUUCAUUGAAUUGCAUCUAGGUAAAUGUGUUAUAUAGAAUUGUUUAAACAUGUGUGUUUUUGUUUAUUAAGAAAUGGUGAUGUGAUGAGAGGAGAAAGUCCUGGAUGAUAAGACAAAUAUGAAAUUUGAUAAUUGUGAAUUGUGAAGGAAAAGUCGAUAACUUGAUACCUAUCAAUACAAAGGAAACUCUGCUGGAUUUUUGAUUGAUUGCAAAAAAAUAAUAAUUACCCUAAUCUUAACUGAAUUAUUACGUCUUUACUCUUUGUUUUGAACAUAAAUUUUGGGGUUGUUACAGUAAAAAAGAAAUAGAAAUUUCUUUUUUACUGGAUCAACCAUAAACCAAUUCUAGUUUUAUUAGGGAGUAUUUAAUACAGCCAUAAUUCUAAGCUUCAUGUUACUCCUUUAAAGAGACAUGUUAAACCCAGAGCAUCCUAUUUUAAGUAAAUGAGAUGACAAUUUCUCAUUCCAAAACUAUAAAAUUAAAAUUUGGAUUAAAUCACACAUUGCAAUAUACUAAGCCUUCUAAUUAUUUACAAGGCUUAUCUAAAAGAUAGGCAAUAUAACUAGGAAAACAUUUCAAAUACCACACAUGAGUUACUAAACCUGACAGCUUGAUGUAGCUCAUUUGAUGUAAACCCUCAGCCCAUAAUUGGUGAACCAAGUUAUAUAAGGAAAUAUACAAUUUAAACUGAUAAAUUAGAAAAAGAAAUUAUUCAAACUAGGAUGAAAAAUCCUUAGUGAAAUUAUUUAGAUCCUGAAUGGAGUGGAGAAAUAAAUCGGUAUGUAAAAUGGUGCUCGAUUAUAAAUCGUGUAAAUUUUCCAUUAAGGUAAUAUAAUUAUUUAAAGAAAAAUAUUUGUGAAUUAGGUGAAAAUAUUUAGGAUAAUGAUGAUGAUGAUAGAGUGAAAUUCUUAAUAAACUAAUGUAUGAUUUUAUGUGCAAAUAACAUUGACCACCGAUAUAAGUUUUGCGUACAAUCACACAAUUGUUUUAACUAGAAUGGAAGGAAAUCUAAGGAAAAAUAUUAUCAUGAAUAUGGAUGAAAGUCUCUAAUAAAUUAUUGAAAUUUUUUUAUGAUUUUAGUAAAUAAAACAAUAUGCAAAAGUAUCACUAGUUAAGUAAAAUACUACAAAUAACAAGUGGACAAUUAGUAAAGGCAAAUUUGUAAAUAACAUAAAAACUCCAGCUCCCUUUAUAUAUUGAGGUUGCCAGCCAUAGGAGAAGGAAUUUAAGCUCUCUUCCUCUCAUUUCUAGCAUUUUCACUCAAAUCUUCUCUAAAAUAAGGGUUUUUAGGGUGUUAUAAGGGUGAUUAGUGGAGGAAACACUUUAGCACAAGUUUUGGAAGGGUUUAAGGAAAUAGAAAAUUAAAAGUUAGUGAGAAAAACAAGGAAUUUUAGGAAAGGAAGAGAACCAUAGGAGAACUUUGCAAAGAAAAGGGCAAAUUGAUUUUAGAUUUUCUUGGUAAAGUACCCUAUACUAUUUAAUUAUGAUUAUUUGAGUUUGAGUGUGUGGGGAAGAGAAAUCCCUAAUCUCUCACCUAGAGUUUAUGAGAGAAGUUUGGGGGAAAUAAAAAAUUACUUAUAAAUUGAUUAAAUUGUGUGAAAUGACGGAUAAAUAUAGAAAGAUAAGGAUAUAAAUUAAAAGAAAAGCCAUGGGAAUUUCCUAACCCUAUGGCCAACCAUGAUAAAGAACGGGGGAAAUGAAAGAAUUGAAUGGAAAUGUGUAUUUAUGUGUUAAUUUGAUGUAUAUUGUAUGAUACUUAGGUUAUGGGGUAAAUGGUUAGUUAAGUAUAUGUGUAUGUACCUAUAAAUUUGUUUGGGAACAUGACUUUUAUAAUAUGGAAGUGAGGUAAAAGUGUUGAGAUUGUAUGAAUAAUUGUAAAUUUGGGUGGUUAUGAUAUGUAGUAUGGUAAGAAAGAGAGUAUAAUCAAGUUUGUAAAUGUUUUACUAAAAUCAAAAGAUGUUGUUAAGUUGACUAUAGGCUUGAUUUUGAAAAAUGAUUGAAUUAUAUGAGAUUAUAUAUUUAUUAAUAUAUUGUCUUGAAUACUUAUGUUUUAGGAAAAGAGUUUUGUGUUAAUAUACAUGUGUUGUAUGUAUGAAUGCGGGUUUGGCAAGGAUAUGGAUUUUAAGUUGAAUACUUUUAUGAUGUUAUAUGUAGCUAAAUAAAUGGAAAAGUUUUAAAAUUUAUAGAUUAAGAAAUCUUUUUGUUGAAUACAUGUUGGUAUGAUAUAGAUUAUAAUGAAAGGGAUAUGUGUCAAUGUUAGAGAAUUAUAUGCGGGUAUGUAUUGUUAUUUUGUUAUGAUAUUAUGUUGGAGUAUGUAUUAAGGAAGCUUGAAAUUUGUUAGUGUUGUUUCAUAUUAAUCAAAUAGUUAGUAUGUAAGUUGGUAAAAUUUAGAAAUGGAUCAAAAUGCUAGAUGACUUAAAUGGUUUUAAUAUCUUAUAUGAAAGUUAAAAUUUUUAAAUGAAAGAUAGUUUAAAAUAAUAGGAAAUUGUGUAUACGAAUUGGAAAGACAUUGACUUAAAUGGUUGAAUUAGUUGAUAUGAGCAAAUUAUAAGUAACUAAAGGUUUAAGUGAGAUUGUAUAAAAUACAUAUAAUAAUGAAUUAAUUAAUUAGAAAUUUGGUGAUGCUUUAUUAAUAUGAAAAACUUGGAAAUUGUUAUGGUUACAAAAUGUAAAAUGAAAAAGUGUGGGCUAAAUAAUAAAGGACAAUGAUGGAAAUUUUUAUAUGUUCAAGUUAAAGAUAAUAAUUAUAAUGAUGCAAAGUAAAGUGUAGUCAAAAUUAUAUUAACAUGAAUAUAGAUUAAUGUGAUGGAAUUUUUGACAUACUAAUUGUGGUCCAUCAUUUUAAAUUAGAAGAGACAUCAGGAGUUGGAUCUUCAAUUGGAAGAGUUAAGUCAAUGGAAGAAGCAGGUAGGUGUCUGACACCUUAACCUUUUAAAUUUAUUAAAUUCUAGUCAAUAUUUCUAUAUUUAUUAUUUUAGUUGUCAGAUGUGCUCAUUAUAAAAAGAAUUGAAUUAUGUAAUUGAAACAGAAAGAUACACAUUAUGGUUGAAAUGACAAUAAAUAUUUUAACUAUUGAAAGAGAAAUAUAAGUUCUUUGUGUAAAAGAUUAUGGAAAUUGACUACUUAGUUGUUGUGUAACGAAACUAAGGUUAUAAAACUAUUUACUUAGUUGACCAUGUAAACAGGGCUAAGGUUACGUAAUAUUGUGGAUGCAAUCGAGUGUUGUAAUGUGUCAAAAUAUCCACAGUUUAUAUUAAUUCAUUCUCCAUCCAAUAUAGAAUACACUUCAAAGAGUUGAAAGAUAAGUUAUUGAGAUAUGAUAAUGAUCAACUUGUAAUGGGGAAAAAGAGAAAAAUAUUGGAGUUGUCAUUUAAAAUGGAGAGUUUAUUUGUAUGAAACAUGUUAAUACAUGUUGAUAUAAAUGGGCAUGAGACAUAUUUAAGUUGGAAAAAUAGUAUAAUAUGUCAUAAAUAGGCAUAAGAAAUAUUUAUAUUGAAAAAAUAUUGUAAGACGCCAUAAAUGGGCAUGAGAAGUAUUUUAAGUUGAAAAAAAUAUUGGAACAUGUAAAAAAUAGACAUAAAAAAAUAUUUAAGUUGAAGGGAAAUAUUUGAAUGUACCAUCAAUGAGUCUAAAAAAUAUUCAAGAUGAAAAUUAUAUUUGAAGGAGCCAAAUGAGCGUAAAGUAUAUGAGAAUGGAAGAAAUAUAUGUAUAAGCUAGAAACGGUUCGGAAGCAUAUUGAGUUUGUAAAAUUAUAUGGAUAAGCCAUAAUGGAUAUAAUAGACAUUGAAAUUGAUAUUUAUUUGCCAAUAAUGAUAUAAUAGAUGUUGAGAUGAACUAACAAAACUAUAUGGUUAAAAUGGAAUAAAUGCAUAGGAAAGCUAAAAAAGCAUAUAGUUGUAAUUGAGAUGAAAUGUGGUAUGAAUAAUGGCAUAAACUUAUAUGCGUAUGAGAUGAAAUGGGAUAUUUAUUAAAUAUGAUAUGGAAAGGGAACAUGAUAUGAAAAUAUUACAAUAAAUUCGAUGAACAUAAAAGAAGUGAGUGAAGAUUGUAUUGAGAUGAGUUAUGGAAUAGUUGGUAAGUCAAUGAGUAGUUGUAUGUGUGAUGAUAAUAGUGUAAUGUGUUUAAUGAAAAAAAGAGUUCAUCAAUGAUUGAUAUGGAAAUAUUUUAAAAAGGACAUAGAUUAGUGUGUUUAUAAAAAGGUUAAUGACAUUUGUUUUGUUCAUAUAUUCGUAAAAUAUAAUAACUAUGAUGAUGUAAAUACUUAUGGUAAUUUUUGUGAUCUUGUGUCUUACAAGUACUUUUCUUUUAAAGGCCUUAAUUUUAAUGAAGAGGUUAUUGAGCUACCUGGCAUUUCCUAUUGGGUAAAUCUUGGUAUUGUCUAAUGAUUAUAUUGUAAACAAGUUUAAGCAUGUAAUUUAUAAGGUCUUGUAACUGCACAAAUGUGUAGGUAUAAAUUAUAUAUCAUUAUACUUGUGGAUAAAAUUAUUGGAGAGUGAGCUUGAAGAUGUCCUUAUGAUAUUAUAAAAAGAAAUUACUUCUAAAUUUCAUGUAUAAGACUAUUAGAAAGAUAAUAAUUGCAUAAAAAAUCUCGGGACAUUACAUUUGAAAUCUUUGUAUCCAAGAAUUAACAAAUUUGACCCCUUAUUUGUAUCAGGGAAACUUGCAGAGAAUCUGCUCAAAUCAAAACAGAGAAUGUGUAGUUGAAAAUCAUGGCAAAGAUUCUGCCAUUAACACUAUAUUUGAAGCUGAUUCCAAACUUGAAUUCUGCAGCUGUAUUCUGCAGCUGUAUAUUGUAAUAUCAUAGUUUUAGCAUUACCAUUUAUAUGUUUCCUAAACUGACUUUCCCACUACUGUAUAUAUAGCACACAAUAUUUAUCAAUGAAAAGUGUGGAGAAUUAUUCAUUGAAAUAGCAGCCGUAUCUAGUUUUUAUAAGGUAUCAGGGCAAUCAAUUUCUAACGAACCACUGAUCCAAAACACCACAAUGUUAUCAUCCUCCGAUCUAAACCCAAACUUCACCCUCAAUACCCAACCCUCUUCUACAAUAGACAAACCAAUCAUUGCUUUCAAUAUCACAGCACAAAUUAAUGAAAAAUUAACCCCCUCCACCUUUCCUCAAUGGCAUGCUCAAUUUGAAGCUCUCCUUAUUGGUUAUGAUUUACUCGACUAUGUCGAAGGCACACUUUUGUGUCCCUCCUCCUCUGGCACUACCACUGAUGAGCUCUGCAAGCUCUAUUGGGUCCGACAGGACAAACUUAUCCUGAGUGUCAUUCUAGCCUCCACAUCACCUUCAAUCACACCACUCAUUGCUACGGCAAAGACAUCUCAUGAAGCUUGGAAAAAGCUAAAAAAUCUAUAUGCUAGCCGAUCAAGAACUCGUGCUAUGCAGUUAAAGGAGGAACUCACUUUAAUCCAGCGUGGACAUCGGUCAAUCACAGAAUACCUCCACGCUGUGAAGACCCUAGCUGAUGAAAUAGCCAUUAUUGAUCACUUAAUUUCAGAUGAUGACCUAACAUUUUAUGUAUUGAAUGGUUUAGGUUCAGAAUUUCAGGAGAUUGUAGCGCCUAUUCGAGCCCGAGAAUCACCACUGGCAUUUGAGGAGCUGCAUGAACUGCUGGUGGGACACAAGGCAUACCUGAGGCGCUUGAAACAACAACACAACAACUGGUAGCUUCCGCCAACUACACAAAGACAAAGCAUUCUAUGUAUAGAGGGAUUCAAUAGUGGUCCCUCAAACCAAACGACAACCCCCGAGGGUCUCAAGGUCCCAGUACCGGCAGAAACUUCAGUGGAGCCCAACGUGAUGGACGUCAUUUCAAUAAUAAUUCUGACAGACCCAACAAUUUCAAUAUGCACUAUCAGCCCAAAUGCCAAAUCCGUGACCAAUUUGGCCACAUUGCAAAGUCUUGUCCUCAGUUUCAUCCACAAAAUGUCUCUAUCAAUUGUGCUACAACCUCUACUGGGAAGAACAACAAUUGGUUAUUGAUUUGGCCGCUUCACAUAAUAUCACGGGUGAUCUUUCUAAUUUAUCUGUCCAUUCCGAAUAUGAUGGAACUGAUGAAAUAAUACUCGGUGAUGGUUCGGGUUUAGCAGUCUCACAUAUUGGCUCUUUGAAUUUACAAUCUACCCAUCAAAACUUUAUACUCCGUGAUACCCUUUAUGUUCCAAAUCUUCGUAAAAAUUUAAUAUUUGUUCAUCAUUUCACCAAACAAAAUAAUGUUUUUGUUGAACUUCAUCCUUUUUAUUUUUUUGUGAAGGGCGAGAUCACGAGGGCGAUUCUACUAAAAGGAGCAUGUAACAAUGGCAUCUAUAUCUUUCCGGAUUCAAUGGUGACACCCCCAAAAGGUUGCUAAUGUGCAUGAACGGACUUCCAUUGAUGGAUGACAUAAGCGUCUUGGGCAUCCUUCCCUUAAAAUUGUCCAUCAUCUUGUUAAGAAUUUUUCUCUUCCUAUUUCAUCGCAAAAACAUUUUUCAUAUUUAUGUCAUUCAUGUUCCAUUAAUAAAACACAUCAACAACCCUUUCGUGGCACCAGUCUUCAAAGCCAUGAACCUCUUGAACUUAUUUACACAGAUGUGUGGGGUCCAGCUAGCUAUACUGGAAUUGAUGGAUCACAAUACUACCUUAUUUUUAUGGAUCACUAUAUAAAAUACAUUUGGUUUUAUCCAAUGGCAACUAAAUCCGGUGUUUCUAAUAUUUUUUCAUAUUUCAAAAAGUUUGUUGAAACCCGCUUUUAAAAACUGAUCAAAACACUCUACUCCGACAAUGGAGGUGAGUUUAUUGCCUUAAAAUCUUAUUUCUUACAUCAUGGCAUAACCCAUUAUACUACUGCUCCAUACACCCACCAACAAAAUGGCAUUUCAGAACGUCAUCACUGUCACAUCGUGGAAACGAGCCUUACACUACUUCAAGAUGCAAAUCUUGACUUCUCGUACUGGCCCUAUGCUUUUCAAACAGCUUCUUACCUCAUAAACCGACAACCCACACCACUCCUACAACACAAAUCCCCUUUUGAAGCCCUUUUUGGCCAAACCCCAAGUUAUUUAAAAUUUAAAAAAUUUGGAUGCAUUUGUUAUCCCCUCACACGACCCUAUAAUUCAAAUAAAAUGCAACCAAAAUCCAAAGCAUGCAUUUUUCUUGGUUAUUCAUCAACUCAAAAUGCCUACAAAUGUUUUGACCCUCAUUUACGAAAUUUUUUUAUCUCUCACCAUAUGUUGUUUGAUGAAAAUCAACAUCACUGCACCUCAUCACAACUCUUGUCUUCCAUGUCCAACCUGGUCAGUCAAGCCAAUCACCAAGUCAUUCCCCUUUAUUUGGUCCCCCGCAGAUCGUUGUGCCAUCAUCAAUGGUCUCCACAACACAAGCCUCAUCAUUGCCUCUAGAAGGCUCCCUUGUCAUUGUUGUAUCCUCCCUGGGUAAUUUCAGCACUCAUGUGUCCUCUUUAAAUUUGGAACCACAUUCUCCUAUUCAACCUACUGAUCUGCACAUUAGUUCAACUCCUCCUCUCCCAAAUUCCAUUGUUUCCAAUCUUAUCCCAUCCAUCAAUCCUCCUCAUCGCACACACACCAUGACCACACGCUCGAUGAACCAACUCUUCAAACCUAAACAAAUUCACAGUGUCCAAACACCCUCUUCCCCAGACCAUAGAACGAACCUGUGUGAGCCAAGCCAUUACUCAACCUCACUGGCGUGAGGCUAUGUCAAAUGAACUCACUACCCUAAUGAAACAUGGAACAUGGGAUUUAGUGCCAUUACCUUCCAACUGUGCACCCGUGGGUUGCAAGUGGAUCUUUCAGGUAAAAAGGAAUGCAGAUGGCUCUGUCAAUAGAUUCAAAGUCCGCCUAGUUGCUAAAGGUUUCCAUCAACGUCCAGGGGUUGACUAUAAGGAAACGUUCAGCCCUGUAGUAAAACCAGCAACUAUAAGAGUUGUAUUAUCUGUUGUAGUCAUGAGUGGAUGGGACUUACGUCAAAUGGAUGUCAACAAUGCCUUUCUUAAUGAUGCAUUAACUGAAAUUGUUUUCAUGAUGCAGCCUCCGGGGUUCAGAGAUUUGUCCAAAUCUAACCAUGUUUGAAGGUUGAACAAGGUCAUUUAUGGCCUUAAACAAGCACCUAGAGCUUGGUACACAACACUCAAAACUGCUAUCCUUCAGAUAGGAUUUCACAACUCUAAGGCAAACUCUUCUCUAUUCAUUUACAGCAAUGGCUCCAAUCUCUGCUACUUACUGGUUUAUGUUGAUGAUCUUGUCAUAACAGGGAAUAAUCCAACUCUUGUGACCAUUUUCAUUCAGCAGCUAGGAGACAUGUUUUCUCUCAAGGACAUGGGCUCUCUUCACUUCUUCUUGGGUGUUGAGGUAAUUCCUACUAGGGCAGACUUAUUCCUCACACAACACAAAUAUGUUCGUGAGCUUCUAGCUAAUACCAACAUGAGUGGUGCAAAAGACAUCUCCACGUCUCUGUCCACAACACAGUCACUUCAACUGGUUGAUGGCAUCGUUGCUGCGGACAGCAUAAAAUUUCGUCGAAUUAUGGACGGCCUUCAAUAUCUCUCUUUGACACAACCAGAUAUAUCAUUCGUUGUCAACAAACUCUCUCAAUUUAUGCACGAGCCUAUUGCAACUCACUGGACACAACCAAACGGCUUCUGCAAUACUUAAAACAAACCAUUUUCUAUAGUGUUCAGAUUCACAAAGCUGGACCUUUAGUUUUAAAAACAUACUCUGAUGCUGAUUAGGCUGGGAAUGUGGAUGGUCGCACGUUGACGUCUGCAUACAUCAGUUUUUUAGGAACUAAUCCCAUUUUGUAGACAUCCAAGAAACAAAGAGUAGUUGCACGAUCCACAACGGAGGCUGAAUACCGAGCACUGGCCAAUGCGGCCUUAGAAACAAUGUGGUUGUCCACUCUUUUCAAAGAACUGACAUUUCCAAUCCAAGAAUCUCCUUUGCUGCUAUGUGACAAUUUUGGAGCCACACACCUCAACUUCUAUCCAGUAAACCACUCGCGCAUGAAACAUAUUCAAAUUGAUCUUCACUUUGUGUGUGAUUUAGUGCAACAAGGAAGUCUUCAGGUCAGACAUGUACACACACAAGACAAACUAGCUGAUUUGUUAACUAAGUUACUGUCCAAACAACGAACGACUGUGUUACGUAACAAGAUUGGUUUUGCGGAUGGAAGCUCAAUCUUGCGGGGGCGUAUCAGGGAAACUUGCAAAGAAUCUGCUCAAAUCAAAACAAAGAAUAUGUAACAAAAAAAAAAGAUUCUGCCAUUCACGUUAUAUUUAGAGCUGAUUCCAAACUUGAAUUCUGCAGCUGUAUAUUGUAGAAGCAUAGUUUUAGCAUUACCAUUUAUAUGUUUCCUAAACUAACUUUCCUACUACUGUAUAUAUAGCACACAAUAUUUAUCAAUGAAAAGUGUGGAGAAUUAUUCAUUGAAACAGUAGCUGUGUCUAGUUUUUUUAAUUUGUUCAUAAAAUUUUGGUUUUUCUUUUUCAUCUAUGAUUUCCCAAUAAUUUCACAAGAAUAAAUUCCAUUGUUUAUAGGCUUAAAAACUCUUUAAUAAAAUAGUCCAUCAUUUUUAUUUUUAUUAGUUUUCUAAUGUAAAGUAUAGGGUUUUGUAACCUCUCCAACAAUCUUUUCAUUAGGUAGGAUUUUAUUAGUCUAAGCAUUUAUUUGUUGAGGAGAAACAGAUACAAUUCAGAGUUGAUCAAUCAUAAAAAGAAAAAUUCUAAUUCAUUUUGAUUAAAACCCUUUCAUAUUAAUCCAUUUAUUUUUCUUGAAUAUAUAGAAAUGUUUUGAUUCCAAAGCCAAAGAUUAUAAUUUUUGACCGAGCAAUUAAAAAGAUUCUAGAGUGUAUUCGGGUUUAGGUAUUGUUCGUCUACUAAUUUUAGUAUCAAGCACUUCUCAGUAAGAUCUAAUAUGACUAGAUUUACAAGUAAGCAUGUCUUGUAAAUAUAAGAAAUGUCAAAUCCCUCUAGAUCCCAAACCUCUAUUUCUUCUAUGUGUUGUCCCCGUUGUUAGUCCUUUCCUCUAAGAAGUUAUGUAACAUGGGCAAAAUACCCAUUACAACAUUCAUGUAUUUUAUCUAACUUGAUGAAUUAAUUUUAAGAUAUUAGGCUUUCCUAUUAUAAUAGGCUGCUUAAAGGAUCUCACAUUCUUCCAUCAAAAAUUCUAUUUUUUUCCGGGCAUUCAAGUUCAAAUACCUACGGAUUUGCUGUUUACUUACCUACUUCAUAAAAUUCAGAAAAUACUAGUUUUCUCGAAGCCUAUUAUUCAUAUCUCUCAUCAAAAGGUGUUACACGAUAAUGUAUAUAUAGCAGACUUUCUGCUAACCCAAGUAAGUAUUGAAAUAUUCUUCCUACAUUCAUUCAUGAAGGAAGUCCUAAUAGGUUGAAGACCUUAUCAAUAGAUCCUCCAUCUUGCAAAUAAGGCAUAUCUUGGUAGUUUUAAACAAGUUUCUUUUGAAGUUGAUACCUGAAUUGUACAAAUAGAAUAACAUAUUUAUAUAGAAUGUUAAUAAGGCUUCUUUGUGAUCGAUGAUCAUAAAAAUGACUAGGAAAAUGAAUGAAAUUUUGGAAUCUUUACCAAUUUGAUCUUGUUUCCCUAAAAACAAACAUACAUUAACAUUUGAAAGAAGUAUGUGUCCGGAUAGCUCAAAGCGCUCUUAAUCUUUCAAUUAAAAAACAAUGUCGGUGAAGGCAUGUUAGUACACUAUUUCAUGGUGAGGGUGAGGAUUAUAACUUCCAAUGCAUUUCCCAUUUAUCACCCAUGACAGAACUUUGCCUAUUUGUUUUUCCAAGAUCGAUGAAUUAAAUGAUAUUUUUAUUCCAAUUUUUACCUCUUUUUCUCCCAUUGAAUCAAACUUUUCCUAUUAGUAUCAUUGAUACAAGUUAGAUCCUAGAUGUGGAAAUAUAUAAGAUAACAUUUUUCAUCGAAAGAUAUGAUAUUCUCGCAAAUACAAUACUUAAAAGAAUUAACUAAAUUUGUUCGAUGUAAAGGCAAUCCAGAAAGUCAUAUAAGUGGAGAAAUAACCUAUAAAAAUAUGGGCUAAUUAAACCAAUCUUGAUUGCACAUUGAAAAGAGCUACCAGUUUAUCUCUCCAUCAAAUCAAAUUAGCCCAAAAUAUGUGUUCAUAAGCCCAUGCUAAAGUUUCAAUCAAUUCUUGCCAAUAUAUGUGCCAAGAAAUUAAAACAUAAAUCUAGUUUUUCAAAAAUGUCUAAAUAUGAACCAAUAUAUGUGCCAAUAAUCUCUUAACUAUUCCAUUAAAUAAGUAGAAGAUUUAUUAAAUUAUGAAACGUUACCUUACCAUAGUAUUAUGUGCUUCCAAUGACAAUAAAUAAAUAACUCAUCCAAUGAUAUUUAACAUUUAGAAAACCACCAAAUAAAAUGUGUCUCAAGUUGAAAAAUCAUAAGUAUUGCCUUGUCCUAAACCAUGACAAAGAAAACUAUAACCAAAAUCCUUUUUAUCUAGCAUUAAAUUAGAACCACACACAUCUAAAACAUCUUUUACUAAAAUUAAUGUAGUUGUAUGUAAACCUAGAGAAAUAACAUGGUGAACCAAGAAGUCUCUAGACCCUAUUGUUAAGAAUAAUGAAUUACUAUUUUCAUUAAUAGCAUUUAACUAGUAAAACAAGAAGGUUGGAUUAUUCCUUGAAGAUAAAAAUACAUCGAACUUAUAUGCAGUUUUUCAUAAGCUGAUUGUAUCCAUUAGGUAAAUGAGUUCAAUCAAGAUUUGUUUCUUCGAAAUAUCGAAAAUAAGAAUGACAUUAUAAUAAAUAUAACAUCCCAAAAUAUGGAAUCUUAAAAAAAGGCUAGGCCAACUUAAAUAGAAUAUAAUAGUUUCUUUAUGGUCUAGCAUUCUUGCUAAUACACUAUCCUUAUUAUGUUCUAUUGAAUAAGAAAUUUAGUUCUAUAAGCAAAAACUCUUAUUAUAAUGAAUUCUGUGAAGUAUUGAUGAUGAGUAUAUAAUGCAACUUGAGUAGUCUCGUUUUAUAAAUGCAUAAGCAAGUAGCUAGUAUAUGUGUUAGGCUACUAAAGAAGUAAUAACCUCUUAAAAAGUUAGAGAAAUAUCUAAUUAAAAAUGAAGUGAAUUAUUGAUUAUGUCAUAAAGACCUUUAUGUCCACUUUCUAGUUUUUAUAAUUUUGCUUUAAAGGAAAAUAUAUAAAAAAAAUGUUUACUACGAAAAACUAAUUUUUAUAAAAUCAGAUAAAAGAUUUAUUUUUCUAGUUUUUCUAACAUGUUUGGCCUUUAAUUUUAAAGACCAACUACUUAACUUCAACUUUUAAGAGUGAGAAGUGAUUUUUAUAAAACUUUAAAGGUAUAUUAGAUUUUACUUAAAAAAAACAUAAAAAUAUGUUUGGUCUUUUUUUUUUAGAUCAAAGACUACUUAUUUUAUUUGAAAGAAAAAAAAUGACUAUUAAAGUUAUCUAACUUCAAUCAUUUUUAUUUUUAUACAUAGUAAUUAGCUAAUAUUUAACUAUAUAGUUAAUAACCUUAAUUAUUUUAAAAUUAAAUAAAUUUAAUUAUUUUAUUUUAACUAUAUUAUAUUUGAGCUUAUAUGGAUAUUAAUUAAAUUAUUUAGUAGUUCUAUAUACUAAAAAACUAUGUAAUGUUUUUAUUAUUGUUUCUUUUUUACUUAUAUCUUUUGUGUUAUUUGUGUGUUGAAAAAAUAAUUCAUUUCUUAAUAAAUUCAUUUAGUUUUUUCUUAAAAAAAUAUUUAAUUUAAGUGAUGGUUUAAUUAUUUCCCCUUUCCUUUGAUCUUUAUAUUAGCUUUUUAUAUUUAUUUUUUUUAAUUUCAGUUUUCAAUAUUUAAUUAAUUUUAAAUUGAAUUUUCAUGAAAUUAUUAUAAUCUCAAACAAACAUCAUGAUAUUUAGUUAUUGCUCAGUUUUAUAAUUAAAUACAAAAUAAUUUUAAAAAAUGGUUAUUAAAUUCGAUAAAGUCCAUGAGCUGGGUUAUGGGUUUGGUAUAUUAAGUAGUAGAGUCCGGGUCGAAUUAAUAUGUUAUCAUACCUAUAUUAAAAUAAAUAAAUAUAUAUAUAUAUAUAUAUAUCAUUUAGAAACUAUCAUUAAAGUCAAACCAUAUUUUAUUUAGAUUGUUUUGAACUUAUCAAAUUGAUUGAUAAUAUUAAAAUAAUUUUUAUAUAAUUUAAUUUAAAAUUUCAAACUAAAAAAGAAUUUGCCUCAGAAGAAUUUUAACUGAUACCAAAAAGUCGAUAAUAAGUAACAUGCUUUUAUUUGAAUUACAAAAACAACACCUUAAAAGUAAAUUUCCAACGAAGUUGUGGACACAAUGACUUCGUCAUAAUACAAGCAUUACAGAGCUCCAAAUAUAUUACUUUAGUGUGGUUUUAACAAUGCAUUUGUGGGUGCUUUUUUCAAAACGUUUUGAAGAUAAAUGUCUUUUUUUAUAUAUUUUUUUAUUUUCAAUGCGAAAGGCAUUGAAAGAUAUAUAAAAAACGACAUCAUUUUUUUUAAUAGAAAACCACUAAUUAAUAAAACACCCAACAAACACAAUAUCAAAAACAUACUUCCUACAAAUGCGGUCCGUAGGAUAAUCAUCAUCACAUAGAGUACAUGUGAGCUGGAAGUCUGGGUUCAAGUUCCGCAACAAGAGCGAUUUGCUUAGGAGUGGAAAGGCCAAAAAUCUCCUGCAUGUUCAACUCCUCCGUUUUCAUAUCACCAGGCAACUUCCAUUUAAACCCGUGCAGAAGAUUUGCCACACUUGCUUGAAUCACCUUGAGUCCUAGACUGUACCCAACACACAUCCUCCUCCCAGCUCCAAAUGGCAACAGCUCGAAAUUGUGACCCUUGACAUCAAUCGACUUGCCAAUGAACCUCUCUGGGCAAAAUUCGUGUGGCUUCUCCCAUAUGCUUGCAUCCCUUCCAAUGGUCCAUACAUUUACCAUGACUCGGGUGCCUUUGGGAAUGUCAUAGCCACCAAGUUGGAUGUCUUCCCGAGCAAGUCUCGGCACUAGGAAGGGUGACACGGGAUGCAAACGCAUGGUCUCCUUGCAAAUUGCGUUGAUAAAUGGCAAGUUAACAAUGUCUUUCUCUUCAAUCCACCUAUCUCUUCCAAUCACUCGAUCUAGCUCUUCGUUUGCCCUCUUGAAAUACUCCGGCUUUUUCAAGAGCUCGGCCAUGGCCCAUUCUGUUGUCACCGCAGAACUCUCAGUCCCACCUGCGAUCAAAUCCUGCCGAAAAGGAAGUGGAAAAAAAUAUUCACGAAUUCAUAGCAUUUAAACUAAUUUGAGCGUGUGUAAUCAAUUCGGAACUGUUCACAUGUUGAUUGAAAUGAAUAGAACAUACCAUUGUAAAUGCCUUGACUGCAGUCCUGUCGAGCUGGACUUCAAGAUUAGGAUCAUCAGAAAGCUGCAACAGGAUAUCCAUCAUGUCCUGAGGCACAUAGUCCUUGACUCCUUUUCUCCUCUGCUGAUGCUCAUUCAAUGUAUACUCAAGAAACCCAUCAAACAACUGGCCAACGGCCUUCAUUCUCUUAAUAUAGCCUUGCAAAUCCAAGAAGGCGAGCCACGGAAUUGAGUCUCCGAUAUCUAACACCCCAUUAAGCAAGAAAAGCUCAUCAAUCAUUUCCUUGAACUCCUUUGGCGACAUGUACUGCUUUUGGUUCCCAGUUUUAACUGUGUAGUUCUUUCCCAACACCAGGCGACUAAUCACACUGAGACUCAAAUCUGAAAAUUCAUCUCUUGCAUUGAUGGGCUUGCCAGCUGACACGAAUAGCUUUCUUAGGAGAGCAUGCAACUCUUGUACGCGGACAGUCUCAAAUUGGUCUAGACGUUUGGGACUAAAAAUUUCCAUGAGGCAAAUCUUACGUGCUUGUCGCCAAUACGGUCCGUAUUGUGACCACGUAAUGUUUGAGUAGUUAUACGUGGUGUAUUUUCCCGCAGCAAUUUUGGGACGAUCAGCCAGUUUGACAUCAUUGGUUUUGAGAACCGCUUCGGCCAUUUCUACAGAAGAGCCCACAACAACUGGAAAUGAACCAAACUUGAGCUGCAUAAUUGGCCCGUACUUCUGGACAAGGGCGUGCAUGUUUCUGUGUGGGAGCGGCCCUGUAAGGAGGUUCAAGUUUCCAAUUAUAGGCCACGGUUUGGGGCCUGGUGGCAGGUUGAGUUUGGGACGGGUAAGGUGGCGGAAGAGGGUUAUCACGGCUACGGUAGCAAGCAAAAGGGCAGCAAAAGUAGAAAGCUCCAUUUUGACAGUGGUAAGGGUGAUUUGUG
Molecule: long non-coding RNA, 19191 nt
Filed under: Populus trichocarpa (black cottonwood)
Lineage: Eukaryota; Viridiplantae; Streptophyta; Magnoliopsida; Malpighiales; Salicaceae
Description: long non-coding RNA (PTRI_LNC000905)
Source: RNAcentral